UACGAAGGGGGCUAGCGUUGUUCGGAAUUACUGGGCGUAAAGGGCGUGUAGGUGGCCCGUUAAGACAGGUGUGAAAUUCCUGGGCUCAACCCAGGACGUGCGCCUGUGACUGGCGGGCUUGAGUCCGGGAGAGGAUGGUGGAACUCCCAGUGUAGAGGUGAAAUUCGUAGAUAUUGGGAAGAACACCCGUGGCGAAGGCGGCCAUCUGGACCGGUACUGACGCUAAGGCGCGACAGCGUGGGGAGCAAACAGG
Molecule: ribosomal RNA, 253 nt
Filed under: uncultured bacterium
Lineage: Bacteria
Description: partial 16S ribosomal RNA
Rfam family: Bacterial small subunit ribosomal RNA
Source: RNAcentral